AAUCUUCCACAAUGGACGUAAGUCUGAUGCAGCAACGCCGCGUGAUCGAAGAAGGUUUUCGGAUCGUAAAGCAUUUUUGUCAGGGAAGAGCACGUACGGGAGACACUGCCCGUACUUUGACGGCACCUGUUUAUAUAACUACCGCACACUACGCGUCAGCCUCCGCGGUAAUACGUCGGUGGCAAGCGUUGUCCGGAAUUAUUGGGCGUAAAGCGCGCGCAGGCGGUCUGGAAAGUAGGAUGUACAAGCUCGGGGCUCACCCCCGAGCGUGCAUACGAAACUUCCAGACUUGAGAGAAAGAGAGGGAAGUGGGAUUCCUAGUGUAGCGGUGAAAUGCGUAGAUAUUAGGAGGAACACCAGUGGCGAAGGCGACUCCCUGGCUUGCAACUGACGCUGAGGCGCGAAAGCGUGGGUAGCGAACA
Molecule: ribosomal RNA, 422 nt
Filed under: uncultured bacterium
Lineage: Bacteria
Description: partial 16S ribosomal RNA
Rfam family: Bacterial small subunit ribosomal RNA
Source: RNAcentral